GGGGAUAUAGCUCAGUUGGUAGAGCUCCGCUCUUGCAACUUCUAGAGAGAAAGGCGCUUUCGCAUCUUCUUAA
This 73-nucleotide transfer RNA is filed under the name Liparis nervosa. RNAcentral's name for it is "tRNA-Ala". RNAcentral also lists the same sequence under 1 other name. The record is from RNAcentral. Lineage: Eukaryota; Viridiplantae; Streptophyta; Magnoliopsida; Asparagales; Orchidaceae.